AUGGGCGCUGGAAGUUCACACACUUUCUUUUGUCUGUGGUUUUUUUCGAGCAGCCUCUUCCCAUUCCCCCCUGGAAGCGAUGGAGAUAUUAGACGCCUAAUGACAAUGUUUCACACGCGGGGGUGGGGUGAGGAGGACAACAGGCUCGUUAGCCGGGUUGAUUUGAAGCACACCCAAUGGCUGGCCCGGAGGAGGCCGGGGCAGAGGCUGGGGAUUCUCCGGGCUCUGCUGGGCUGUCACCGGCUGGCUCGGCACCUCCCGGGCGCGGAGCGGGAUGCGCUCCUUUUCCAAAUCCUCCUCUCCCUAAAACCCGGCGGGUUUUGCCUCCUUCCUGCUCCGGGAGGGAUGCUCUCGCAGCCAUCGUGGAGCUGCGACACCCCUUCUGCCAAAAUCCCUGCCGGUAUGGGGGGACGCCGGGGACUCGCACCGCUGGCCCCGGAGGCCCGGGAGGUGGCCAGGAGCACGGUAGCAGCGCCGGAGGUUCUGUCGCAUCCCGGGCGGGCAGUUGGCGUCCCCGGGGCCCUUCUUUGCUCAGCUCCGGAGGCGGGGUUAAGGCUAGGGUUAAGGUACUCGCAGGACAGGGAUCGCCCUAACUACAAGCAGCGGAUUUUACCGUUCGGCAAGGUCCGUCUGUCCGUUCCUCGGGCUCUCCCAGCCCCAGGCGGGAUGCUGGGGGAUCUGGACCCGGGCUCCUCCCGGUCUGUUUCAUUCUCAUCCUCCCGAACCCCGUCCCGCUCGGGUACACGGAGCGACCCCCGAGAGAUCUCUGCAGACACCCGGCACCCCCUCCCAGGGGUCCCCUCCCCAGCUGCGAGCCCGCAAAGCGGCUCGGGGGGACACCCGCACCCAGCUGGGAGUUCCCGUGGGCUGAGGGCUCCCCCUCUCUGCUCCCCUCGCUCCAUCCCGGCUCUGCGCUGGUCCUGGGCAGAACCGGAGAGUCUCGGCGUGCGGCUCCCCCCGCCCCGGAGACCCCGUGCUCGGCGAGGAGUAAAAUUCGCCUUCAUGUUGAAGGUUUUCCUCCCGUGA
RNAcentral lists this long non-coding RNA (1026 nucleotides) under Ficedula albicollis (Collared flycatcher). RNAcentral describes it as "lncRNA (ENSFALG00000024854.1)". The record is from RNAcentral. Lineage: Eukaryota; Metazoa; Chordata; Aves; Passeriformes; Muscicapidae.